UGGGGAAUAUUGGACAAUGGGCGCAAGCCUGAUCCAGCCAUGCCGCGUGAGGGAUGAAGGCCCUAGGGUUGUAAAGCUCUUUCACCGGUGAAGAUAAUGACGGUAACCGGAGAAGAGGCCCCGGCUAACUUCGUGCCAGCAGCCGCGGUAAUACGAAGGGGGCUAGCGUUGUUCGGAUUUACUGGGCGUAAAGCGCACGUAGGCGGACUAUUAAGUCAGGGGUGAAAUCCCGGGGCUCAACCCCGGAACUGCCUUUGAUACUGGUAGUCUUGAGUUCGAGAGAGAUGAGUGGAAUACCGAGUGUAGAGAUGAAAUUCGUAGAUAUUCGGAGGAACACAAGUGGCGAAGGCGGCUCACUGGCUCGAUACUGACGCUGAGGUGCGAAAGCGUGGGGAGCAAACAGG
This 404-nucleotide ribosomal RNA is filed under the name Actinomycetes bacterium. RNAcentral describes it as "Actinobacteria bacterium partial 16S ribosomal RNA". It matches the Rfam family "Bacterial small subunit ribosomal RNA", at positions 355 to 776 of the family's 1533-position model. Lineage: Bacteria; Bacillati; Actinomycetota; Actinomycetes. The record is from RNAcentral.